UGGGGAAUUUUGGACAAUGGGCGAAAGCCUGAUCCAGCAAUGCCGCGUGUGUGAAGAAGGCCUUCGGGUUGUAAAGCACUUUUGUCCGGAAAGAAAUCCUUGGCUCUAAUACAGUCGGGGGAUGACGGUACCGGAAGAAUAAGCACCGGCUACCUACGUGCCAGCAGCCGCGGUAAUACGUAGGGUGCAAGCGUUAAUCGGAAUUACUGGGCGUAAAGCGUGCGCAGGCGGUUUGCUAAGACCGAUGUGAAAUCCCCGGGCUCAACCUGGGAACUGCAUUGGUGACUGGCAGGCUAGAGUAUGGCAGAGGGGGGUAGAAUUCCACGUGUAGCAGUGAAAUGCGUAGAGAUGUGGAGGAAUACCGAUGGCGAAGGCAGCCCCCUGGGGCCAAUACUGACGCUCAUGCACGAAAGCGUGGGGGAGCAAACAGGAUUAGAUACCCCUGGUAGUCCACGCCCUAAACGAUGUCAACUAGUUGUUGGGGAUUCAUUUCCUUAGUAACGUAGCUAACGCGUGAAGUUGACCGCCUGGGGAGUACGGUCGCAAGAUUAAAACUUAAAUGAAUUGACGGGGUCAUAGCUGUUUCCU
This 588-nucleotide ribosomal RNA is filed under the name uncultured bacterium. RNAcentral's name for it is "partial 16S ribosomal RNA". It matches the Rfam family "Bacterial small subunit ribosomal RNA", at positions 355 to 1375 of the family's 1533-position model. The record is from RNAcentral.